This 473-nucleotide ribosomal RNA is filed under the name Jaguajir pintoi. RNAcentral describes it as "partial 16S ribosomal RNA". It matches the Rfam family "Archaeal large subunit ribosomal RNA", at positions 1920 to 2669 of the family's 2987-position model. Lineage: Eukaryota; Metazoa; Arthropoda; Arachnida; Scorpiones; Buthidae. The record is from RNAcentral.
AUCUUUUAGUGUUAAUUAAAAGUGUGCUCUGCUCAAUGCUUAGUAAAUAGCCGCAGUAUUUUGACUGUGCAAAGGUAGCAUAAUAAUUAGUCUUGUAAUUUGAGACUGGAAUGAAAGAGUUAACUAGAGGAAAUUUAUCUUGAAUGUAAAUUUUGAAUUUUACUUUUUAGUAAGAAGGCUAAAAUAAUUCUUUUAGACAAGAAGACCCUAUAAAGUUUAACAUAGAAAAAUUUAAAAUAUUCUUAUUAUGUUUGACUGGGGCGGUAGGAAAAUAAACAUUUUUAGAUUUUAAAAAUUUGAAGUUUUUAUACCCAAAAUUUUUGAAGAUUAAAUAAAUUACUUUAGGGAUAACAGCGUUAUAUAUUUAGAAAGUUCAAAUUGACAAAUAUGUUUGCGACCUCGAUGUUGGAUUAGGUUUCCUUCAUUGUGUAAGAGUAAUGAAAGGGGGUCUGUUCGACCCUUAAAAAUCUCCA